UGAGGAACGGGGGGGCUGGGGGGGGCUAGGGGUGAGGAAUUCGGGGGGGUUUGGGGGGGCUAGGCAAGAAGAGUAUAGCUAUAAUACAUGCCUUGCUACUGCACUGAUGAGCUUAUAGCUCAGCAAAGACCUGUUGGAGGGGAGGGGGCAGCCUCAUGGCUACCUGGAGAAACAAUUCGUAAGAGUUUCCACGGAGGUGUGGAUAUAUGUAUCCACAUAUUCCUUUGAUCUGUUCGGCAAGGAUAAACUAGGGCUGAGGGCCAGGGAGAGGGGGAAGGAGCGGGGAUAAAUACAGAGGAAGAGGGAGGGACUGGGGAAAGGCCAGUGUAAGGAUUGUGGGUUUUUUUCUGAGUAGCCAGAGAGGCACAACUGGGAAUCUCACUUUGGUUUGGAUGGGGUUACUAAGGGACCUAUGAACAACAGACUACUGGGGGGGAAACACUAGAAACUAGUUAGGGAGCUAUGGUGGCAAUCCGAGCUAAUUGCCUUGGGUGGGAAAAGAGAGAGUGGCUACAAUCCAUGCCUUGCUGCUGGGUUAACAAGUUUAUAGAGUUCAGCAAAGACCUGAUGGAAUGGAGGCGGCAGCCUUGCAUCUAUCUGGAAAAUAAAAAAAAAUAUAAAUAAAUAAAUAAAUAAAUAAAAAAGCAGUUCAAAGGAAUAGCUUUGACAAAGACAAUAAGGUAGGCAUGUACUCAUCUAUUCCUUCAACCUAUUCAGCGAGGAUAGGAUGGGGUAGAGCCAGAGGGAGGCAAGGAGCAGAGGUAAAGGUGCAGGGGUAGGGGUGGGAGUAAAAUCAAAGCUGCUAGACAUUGGAAGCAUUAAAGAGGCAGAGAAAACAGAAAUCACUACAGUGCUAAGCAUGGAGGCUAAAGAGAAGCGUGAAAGACGACUCCAAGAUAUUCAGUUGGAGCCGCUAGAAGUUGGGAGUUUCUGGUGUCAAUAGAGCCUGGAAAAACCUGGAGUGGAACCUGGUUGAGUUCUGAAGGGACUGGAUACAGGAGAGGAUCUGCACGCUGGAGAGCAGGCAUGUCUGUGCCCUUGGAGCUCCAGCAAUGCAGAGGUCUUCUCCUCCAGUCAGUACUGAAAGUCUUGAGUGUGCCACAAGAGCCUAGCAAAUGUGGCACGGCAAAGGGGACCGGGUAGUCCCAUGGGAGGGGACCCAGAGAGCGCCUCACUGCUCACAAGCAGCAGCUACCACCGUGAAUCGAAGCCAGCAAAACGCCUUCCAGAUUCCCCCCGGGUGAGAUGACAGAGACUGCUGUGGUCCUCAGGGUGUGAUGGGAGUGUGUCCUGUUGCAAUCCAAAGAGGAAGAAGACUGUCUGCCUGGGCCUCCUUGGUGCAUGCCCAGCCACAAGUCGACAGUACUUGGCAGGGUUGGAAAACCUGCCCAGGUCUUCAGAAAACAGCCCAAGUGCACCACUCUUCGCUGGGUAAGGAUACCCAACCAGUUCCUUGGAGCUGUCGCAUCCAUGCUAAAAUCGACAGUCUGAAGAAAGCCAACUGGUUUAUGGGUCUGCAGCUUCCCUGGGCCGCCACCCUCUGGGGCCAUCAAUCCAGCCACUCAGUGCACAGCCACCGCUGUCCACGUUGACGAUGCCUUCCCUGCAGGGAGCUCCAUUCUGCCCCAGCAACACAGUAAGGGCAUCCAUCCGCCCAAUCACUCCCACACAGCCAUAGCCAUGAACCACAGUGAGGACCCCAGCUGGAUUAUCAAUGUGUAGCUCUGCAGUUUCACCAUCUUCAGGACAAGGACACCUGCCAUGGUAACUGGUAACUUUCACAGCCAUCUUUAAGGUAAUGACAUCAAGAUAGGCUACUCCAUUAUAAGAUAAGGCUGGCUGGCCAGGUCCUCACUCUACCAUUGACCACAUGGUACCACCCUCAACCCGCAUUCUUGUUUCUCACUCAAAGCAGUGCUGCUGUCACAGAGAGCAGAAAUCCAACUACAUUUUCAGUGGGAUGCAACAUGGCUUCCUGAGGGCAAGGAAGCCCUGUUGAGUCCUCCAGAUGUAGUAGCAACCGGAUGGAAACUUGGCUGGUUUUAUUCACACCUCCACUCUGCCACCAACCCAAAGGCAGAGAUGUCUGCCCAAGUCAUCUUGGUGCCUAUGACAUCCAUGCGGCUGCCCGGGAGGUGAGAUGCCCUACUGGGUUAUCACCACCCAGUGCUACUGUAUCAACCCCAGAAUAAAGAUGUCUACCCUUGGUCUUGAGGGUGACUGUGCUAAUGCAGCUACUCAGGCGAGUACAGUAAGCUCCACAGCGUGCCCAUCUGCAACGAACAAACACCAAGCCAGGCUGUGGAUGUGUGAAUGCAGCUGUGACGCCGUCUGCAGGGCUACAGAGCCUAUCCAGGUCCUUAGCAUGCCACCCAGUGUGGCUAUCCACAAUGCAAAGACUCCACCGGGCCAUACCAUAGCUCUCAGGACAAAGACAUCCGCCCAGCUCCCUGCUGUGAGACGUUCUGUGGAAGUAAACGCUCUGAUCCUGAUGCACAAACGCACCCGUUAACAGACCGGAGGGUUUGAAAGCCCACCCACAUUCUUAGAGCAGGUCCUGAGAGCAUGGCCCCGGGGAUGCAACUAUUCACAGAAUAAGAGCAAUCCAGAGGGUUACCGACACAGGGCUCCACGGUAACAUGGUGGCACACAAAGCUGAGGUCAUCCACCCAGCUACAUACAGAGUAAAAACAUCUGCCUGGAUCCUGGGUGUGCAGAUGUAGCUGUGACGCAUCUUUACAGAUCCCAGAUCUUAAUGCGCAGCCGCAACAAUGAGGUCACCGUCAGAGAGAGGGCGCUCCACUGCGCCACCAUCCACAAGAUGGCGCCACCAUCCACAAGAUGAGGCUAUCUGCCUAGAUUCUUACUGCGCAGCCGCCGCAAUGCGACAAUGAAAGGACGCUUUUCGCUGUAUCACCAGCUCCAGAAAAACAUCAGCCCGGAUCCUUAAUGCCCAGCCACCACAGCGCAUAUAUCCACAUGGUAAAGGUGUUCGGUCAGUCGUACCACCAUCCUCAACCUUACUGAGCAGCUAUGGCCGUACAGCUCCCGCGGGUUCUAAAUACUUGACUAUACCGCCAUAUCUGGGGCUAAGAUCCGCUCCGAUCCUUAGUACGCGCCACCACUAUGCAGCAGCCCACAGAAUAAAGAAGGACGUUCCGCGGUGCCCCCAUCCCUACAACAAAACGCGGCAGUCGCAAUGUGGUUACGCGCAGGAGGAGGACGCUUGGAAACCAUCCGUGGGAUAAGAUCCUCUUAGGCCUUUCAAACACAGCUGCUAUGACGCAGUUAUCCACAAGAUAAGGAAUUCUGUUGUAUCAACAUCCCCAGGAUAAGAUCCACUCGGGCAUCUGGUAUGCAAACACCACAAUGCAGGCAUCCACCGGGUAGUACCGACUCUGUUAAACCAUCAUCCAAAAUAAGGACAUACUCUUAAUUCCUUAGUGCGCAAGCAGCAGCAGUGCAAGGUAAAGUGCUCUGAGAUUAUCAGUGCACAGCUCCGCUGCGCCACCAUCCGCGGGAGUAAGAAUACCACACAAAACCUUACUGCGCCAUUAAAGCUAUCCACCCCCACAAGGCCGUUUCGCCGGGUAUCCGUGCGCGGCCCCCCUGGGCCUCUAUCCGCAGGGUAACGACAUCCGUUCAGUCACUGAAGUGUAGCCACAAAUAUGUAUAGUUCCCCAGGAUCAAGAUGACAAAAAGCUGGGCAGGUAAUGGCUGGGUAAGGGCAUACGCCCAAGUCCCAGCCAGGCGGCUGGGAACCUUCCAUGGCUGAUCAUUAUGUGACGACCACAAUGCACCUAUCCACAGGGUGAUGGCGAGCCUCUGUGCCAGCGUCUCCAGGGUGAAAAGAUCGGCCAGGCUUCCAGUCGGUUCGAGAGCUGUAGGGUUCUGGGCUCGCAGUUUCCUCAGGGCCGCCCACGCACGAGCUGCACCAACACAGACAUCUGGAUUUUUUCGGCGCCUCCGCCGUCUGCCCAUCAUUCGGCCACAUUGUUAUGAGAGACCUCAAGCAGAAGACUCCCGGCUCCGCGGUCCGUGCUGUAGGUCUUCUACCCGACCAUCUUCAACAAAUAGGGCACGGCUCUUCCUGGAGGAACGGGACCAUCCACAAGAACGGCAGCAGCGUACAGAUACAUGGUGCGGGCACUCGGAUCGGCUACCACACACAGCCUAACGUCGCAAUAAGGACAGCCUCUGGUUCCUCUUCGGUCGUGGACACAGGCGCGGUCAAGAUGUCCGCUCAGCUCCCAGCCGUGCCGCAGUCUGCAGGGUUGGAGACGUCUGGCGAGAUCUGGUGCGGAGGCGGUUGUGACGUAGUCUGCAGGGCGAGUCCGCCAAGAUCUCAGUGCGCAGGCGCGGCAAUGCGGCACUCUGCAGGGUAGGGAUGCGCUCUAUGGCGCCAUCUACCAGGUAAGAAGGAUAGUCCAAGUCCUUUAUGCGUGGGCACAAAGGCCAGCAGUUCUUACGCGGUGAAGCCGCAUAGGUAAUUAGCGCGGCUCCACUGUGGCAGCAUCUUCAGGGUAUCGGUGCGUGGCUGCGUUGGGGUCUGAGGCCUAGGGAUGCUCCGCUGAGUCGGCAGGGAAGAUCGUCCAUGCGGAUACUCCGAACACAAUUGCUGCGGCAGCAUGGCGACCAGCCGAUCUCAGUGCGCAGGCGCGGCAAUGCGGCAGUGCGGUAUCGAGUGUGUUCUGCGAUGCCAUCUAGCGGGUAAGAAUGACGGCCUAGCUACUCGGUGCGGAGGCACAGAGGGAACAAUGAAACCAGGGUGCCCCAUUGGUGAUUGGCGCAUGGCGCAUGGCGCAUGUCCCAGUGGGACAGCAUCUACCUCGGUUAUCCAUGCUGUCCCACGCGAUCCACAGUUUAGAAUGUCCUCGGGGUGAGAGUAUCCACGUAGUUAGGAUACGACACAAAUGAAUGUCCCACCGGGUCUGCGGGGUGAGGGUGUUCACGCAGGUAUUUAGUACCAGGCGGCGGCAGCAAAAUGCUCAAUGGAAGGAACCUAGCCGGAUCCACCAGUGAGCAUGGGGAACAAACGGCAUUGCCACGCCAGGCCCUUCCCAGAGCUCACCCCUCUCUGCCCCUCCUGUGUGAGGGUUGGGCUUCCUCGCUGUUGUUGUGCAGACUCUGGGACACUAAAGACUGUGCUUUUGCAGUGGUAACCUGGGUGCCCUAGUGAAGGAGGCCAGGGGUGACCGGCGUACCCCUACCGGGCGGCCGAACCAAUGCUUUAAUCGCAGACUGGUGCGUGCUUUGCAAAACCACAAGAGGGACCACGUCCUCAAAAACGAGCUUUAAGAAAGCUUCUGGAUUAUGUCACCCAGAAAGCUAAGCUACGGGGUUUCCAAUCGCACACCCAAGGGCAAUUUGUGUGUUCAAGCUACGGGGUUUCCGAGCGCACACCAAAGGGCAAUUUGUGUGUUCAAGCUACGGGGUUUCCAAGCGCACACCAAAGGGCAAUUUGUGUGUUCAAGCUACGGGGUUUCCGAGCGCACACCAAAGGGCAAUUUGUGUGUUCAAGCUACGGGGUUUCCGAGCGCACACCAAAGGGCAAUUUGUGCUUUCAAGCAACGGGGUUUCCGAGCGCGCACCAGAGGGCGAUUUGUGACGCACUAAUAAUUUCUAACCAAAAGAUGAAAUUUCAAAGUCCCACCUUUUUCUAUUUCUAAAAAAAUCCAGCAAUAUGGCAUCUUGUAUUGGGAGAGCUUUAAGACAAAGGAUUUUCAUCAUAUUUGUUGACCGCGCUGGGGAUCAUACUAGAGACUAUGGUGCCGCAAGGAAUGCCCUCCCCCCACCAGGGAAAAGCCCCCAUGUCCUGGAUGUUCUCGUUCAUUCUUCAGUAUUUACAGAGAAGAGCCUAUUGUUAGGUUCACAUAUGAGGAAACAGAGGCUAGAAAUCAUGCCAGAACCUUCGGCCAGGAAGAAAUUGCACUACUCAGGUGAAAAUAAAGAGACGUAAUAGAUGUGUGUAAAUUUAAUCGAAAAUCCUAACCUGAGCAUCAGUGAAACUGAAACUCCCAUAUAUAUGAGAAGUCAGAAUCUGCAUUGGCAUAUCCUGAAAAUAAAUGUAUGUUCAAUAAAUGAAAUACCCAACAACAAACAAACAAAAGAACAGACUAUAGGAUGAACAUGCUUUCUGCGCCGGUGGCCAAGCACACAUUCCCUUGUUUUGGUUCGGUUUUAUCCAGGGCCAGCAUUACCUCUCUCCUCAGCCCUCGGCUCAUGACAUGGUGGAGCUGGGAAUGGGAGGGCCGGCCCUAUAUAACUGCAGAGGCCUGCAGGAGAGGAGGGGGCAGGAGAGGAGGGGGCAGGCGAGGAGGGGGCAUAGGCUCCUGGGACACUGGAGGUCUGAGUCUCAUUUGCAUAGACGAUGCUUCUUGAGGGGUAGUUCAGUGCUCAGUUUGCAACCUGCAGGCUGUGGCUGGAUCCCAAUGUCCCUGGGGCUCCUAUUUCACUGAGUUGUGACACAGAAUGUUUCUUUUUUUUUUUUUUUUCUUUUUAGCUGAGGCUCGAACCCAGGGCGCUUGCUAGGCAAACGCUCUACCACUGAGCUAAAUCCCCAACCCUUACACAGAAUGUUUCUUAAGAGCCAGAGAACUGUCUGGUUUACCGGGAGUUACCAGGAGGACACAGUGCUGACAGCCAAUAGCAAAACAACAACAACAAAAACCGGGGGAGGGGGCGCAAACAGCCAGAGCAACCAACCAGUGAAAAGAACCUGAAGGUCCCCUGCUCUGCUUCUCCCCAAGUGCAGACUGAGAGCCCAGGGUGAGCAGAGAGGUCUCCAUUGUGCUUAGCACCGUGACUCCCUCCUCGGUCCCAUCAGCUCUGUUCUGGACCACUGAGGAAAGUUUAGGAA
This is a long non-coding RNA of Peromyscus leucopus (white-footed mouse), 6859 nucleotides long. RefSeq lists it as uncharacterized. The record is from RefSeq and is a predicted model, not a curated record. The transcript is spliced from 2 exons. Lineage: Eukaryota; Metazoa; Chordata; Mammalia; Rodentia; Cricetidae.